AGGGAGAGAAUAUAGAAGACAUCCCAAAGGAAGUGCUGAUGGACUGUGCCCACCUUGUGAAGGCCAAUAGCAUUCAAGGUAAAAAUUGUGACAGUGGAGAAGAAAGUAAAUGAGAUCCUGAACCGAUUAGAAAAGACCAAAGUCGAGCGGUUCCCAGACCUAGCAGCAGAGAAAGAAUGCAGAGAUCGUGAAGAGAGGAAUGAGAAAAAAGCCCAAAUUCAGGAAAUGAAAAAGAGAGAAAAAGAAGAAAUGAAGAAGAAGAGGGAAAUGGAUGAACUUAGGUAUGUCGGAGCUGUGGCAUUGAGACUGACCUCAAAGAUUAUUCCCUGAUGAUUUUAAUCAUGUAUUAGCCAUUAAGAACGAUAUAUUGGUGGAAGGAGGGACAUGUAACAAGCUCAGCUUAAGCUCAACCUUAAAUCAGUUUUUUAAAAAAAGGCAUUUAUAUUAAUGUGUUGGUUAAAAGAAUUGCUUGUUUAUGGCA
This 481-nucleotide long non-coding RNA is filed under the name Homo sapiens (human). Its description in RNAcentral is "non-protein coding lnc-PBK-1:1". The record is from RNAcentral. Lineage: Eukaryota; Metazoa; Chordata; Mammalia; Primates; Hominidae.